AUAAAAAGGGAUUCUGUAAUGGCCGUGACAGUUCUGGUGAAUUAUCUGGAAGAUUGCAAGUUCUGGAAUUUUGUGAUGAUUGUAAUGAUGGUGGGAGCGGAGAUUUUCAAAAUUAUAUGAAUCCCACAAACUGUGAAUCAAUAGGAUCUGAUUUAACUUCCCAUUCUGUGUCAUCUGAUAUUUUUUCUGGAAAAGAGGAGGAUUGUGUUGAAUCAACUCCAUGCCAUGUCAAAAGGCCAUCAACUGUAACUUUCCGUGACCCUGAAUCAAGCAGUGUAGUUCUGGAGGAGUCUGAUGUAUCUGAGGUUGAAAGUAACAUCCCUGCAAGGCAAACGGCUGUAAGGCCUGGAAAGAAAGGGACAUGCUAUCGAUGCUUGAAAGGAAAUAGGUUUACUGAGAAGGAGAUUUGCAUUGUGUGUGGUGCAAAGUAUUGUUGUAAGUGCGUGUUGAGAGCAAUGGGAUCAAUGCCAGAAGGAAGAAAAUGUGUAUCUUGCAUUGGUAAAAAAAUCGAUGAGUCAAAACGAAAGACUUUGGGGAAAUGUUCUCGCAUGCUGAAGCAACUGUUGCCUGAGUUGGAAGUUGAACAAGUAAUGAGUUCUGAAAGAUCCUGUGAAGCAAAUCAACUACCACCGGAGCUUGUUUACGUAAAUAGUCAGCGUCUUUCCCCACAGGAGCUAUUCCUAUUGCUGACCUGCCGGUACCCACCAAAAAAGUUAAAACCAGGAUUCUAUUGGUAUGAUAAAGUCUCUGGUUUUUGGGGAAAGGAAGGAAAGAAGCCUUGCCAAAUAAUUAGUCCCCAGUUGAGCAUUGGGGGUCACAUGCAUCAAGAUGCAAGUAAAGGAAACACAAAUAUUUUGAUAAAUAAUCGUGAGAUCACCAAAACAGAGUUAUUAAUGCUGCAGAUGAUAGGAGUGAAAUGUGAAGGAACAACUCACUUUUGGGUUAGUGCAGAUGGAUCCUAUCAGGAAGAGGGAAUGAAUAAUGUAAAAGGGAAAAUAUGGGACACGAAAAAAGCAAAGUUAAUUUGCACUGCGUUGUCUUUGCCAACUCCCCCUGGUUCUGCCAGUCCUAGUGGAGAAGAAGGGAAUAGUGUUGCCCCAAAAAGCUUUGACCAGAAAAUACUUUAUAAACUUCUUCUUGUUGGCUAUGGAAAAUCUGGCACGAGUACCAUAUUCAAACAGGCAAAAAUUGUCUACAAUAUUCCAUUUUCUGAAGAUGAGCGUCAAAAUAUUAAGCUCAUGAUCCAAAGUAAUUUAUAUGGUUAUCUGGGUAUAUUGCUUGAGGAGCGUGAACGAUUUGAAGAAGAAAGUUUAAUUAUGAAGAAGCGACAUAUCAUUGACCAAUGUAGUUCUUCAGAUACUGCAGGUCAGGUUGGGGAUAAAACAAUCUAUUCUAUUGGCCCCAGAUUGAAAGCUUUCUCGGAUUGGCUUCUAAAGAUAAUGGUAUCUGGUAAUUUGGAAGCCAUAUUCCCAGCUGCCACCCGUGAAUAUGCACAAUAUGUUGAGGAUUUGUGGAAUGAUGCAGCCAUCCAAGCCACAUAUAGCCGCAGGAAUGAAUUUGAAUCACUACCUAGAUCUGCCACUUAUUUCCUAGAACGGGCUGUUGAGAUUUCAAAGAAAGACUAUGAGCCUUCCGAUAUGGACAUCUUGUAUGCUGAGGGAAUUACAUCAUCUAAAGGGCUUUCUUC
This 1687-nucleotide unclassified non-coding RNA is filed under the name Hevea brasiliensis (rubber tree). The record is from RNAcentral. Lineage: Eukaryota; Viridiplantae; Streptophyta; Magnoliopsida; Malpighiales; Euphorbiaceae.